RNAcentral lists this ribosomal RNA (373 nucleotides) under uncultured bacterium. RNAcentral's name for it is "bacterial SSU rRNA". It matches the Rfam family "Bacterial small subunit ribosomal RNA", at positions 521 to 896 of the family's 1533-position model. The record is from RNAcentral.
UAAUACGGAGGGUGCAAGCGUUAUCCGGAUUCACUGGGUUUAAAGGGUGCGUAGGUGGGUUGGUAAGUCAGUGGUGAAAUCUCCGUGCUUAACAUGGAAACUGCCAUUGAUACUACUGGUCUUGAAUUUUCUGGAGGUAAGCGGAAUAUGUCAUGUAGCGGUGAAAUGCUUAGAUAUGACAUAGAACACCAAUUGCGAAGGCAGCUUACUACAGGGAUAUUGACACUGAGGCACGAAAGCGUGGGGAUCAAACAGGAUUAGAUACCCUGGUAGUCCACGCCCUAAACGAUGGAUACUCGACAUUUGCGAUACACAGUAAGUGUCUGAGCGAAAGCAUUAAGUAUCCCACCUGGGAAGUACGACCGCAAGGUUG